Molecule: ribosomal RNA, 491 nt
Filed under: uncultured bacterium
Lineage: Bacteria
Description: partial 16S ribosomal RNA
Rfam family: Bacterial small subunit ribosomal RNA
Source: RNAcentral
AGUGAACGCUGGCGGUAGGCCUAACACAUGCAAGUCGAACGGCAGCACAGUAAGUGCUUGCUCUUACGGGGUGCGAGUCGCGGACGGGUGAGGAAUACAUCGUAAUCUACUUUUUCGUGGGGAUAACGUAGGGGAACGUACGCUAAUCCCACAUACGACCUACGGAUGAAAGCAGGGGAUCUGCUGACCUUGCGUGACUACAUGAGCCGAUGUCGGAUUAGCUAGUUGGCGGGGUACAGGCGCACUACGGCGACGAUCCGUAGCUGGCUUGAGAGGAUGUUCAGCAACACUGGACUGGAGCACCGGCCAAGCUUCUUACGGGAGCAAGAAGAGGGGAAUAUUGGCCAUUGGGCGCAGGCUUGAUCCAGCCAUACCGCGUGGGUGAGGAAGGCCUUCGGGUUGUAAAGCCCGUUUGUUGGGAAAGACAAGCGGCAGGUUGAUACCCUGAUGUUCUGACGGUACCCAACGAGUAAGCACCGGCUAACUUCGUG